Molecule: long non-coding RNA, 1053 nt
Filed under: Phasianus colchicus (ring-necked pheasant)
Lineage: Eukaryota; Metazoa; Chordata; Aves; Galliformes; Phasianidae
Description: lncRNA (ENSPCLG00000020535.1)
Source: RNAcentral
CCGACCCUACGUUUUGAAGCAGGCGGCCGCUCGCCGAGCGCAGAUGGAGCAGAACUCCACCGACACCUGAUCCCGCUCCACGUGCAGGCAGAUCCCGCCGGGAGCCGCCCAACGCUCCUCGGGCUCCGCGCCCGGCGGCUGUUCGGGGCCGGGCGGCCGCGCGUUGGGCAGCGCGUAGUCGUGGUCGCCGCUAUCGCCGCCGGGCCGGCCGGGCGGCUGCUGCUGCUGGUGCUGCUGCUGGCGGCGGCCGUCCCUGAAGAGGCUGGUGCCCAGGCGCAGCCCGCCGGCCCGCGUCCCGGCCAGGCGGCUCAGGAGCUGCCCCAGCGCGCUCUGGUUGGCCAGCACGGCCCGCAGGUAGCCGCUCUCCCGCUCCAGCUCCCGCAGGCGGCGGUUGAGGCCGCGGUUGCGGUCCCGCAGCUGCCGGUUCUCGGCGGCCAGGCCCUGCAGGCGGCUCUCCAGCCCCAGCACGUACUGCUUCUUCUUCAGCCGGUUCAGCCGCGCCGCCGCCGCCGCCUUCAGCCUGCUGCCGGCCCCGCCGCUCCGCCGCCUGCGGCCCCGCCCCGCUUCUCCGCAGAAACAGCCGCUCAGCUCCGCGCCCGCGUCCCAUUCCGGCCUGGCCGCCUCCAGCAGGUCUCCCAGCUCCAGCCCGGGGAACCAGUCCUCUUGUUCCCACACCUCAGGCGGGCCUUCGGCCGCCUCUUUCUCCUGUUGCUGUUGUUUGGGCCUCGCCGCUCCCGGAUCCCCUUCCCCGCCGCCAUCCCGCCCUCUCGGGGCCUGCCCCGCGCCGGCGAGAGGCCACGCGGCUCCCGAAGGGCUCGCUCCGCCCGAGGAAGCCGCCAGCAGUUGGGUGAGGCUGUGCCGCAUGGCGGCGGCGGAGGGAGGAGGGGGGAGAAGGCGGCGGCCGCGGGGCCCGGGGAGAGCGGCGCGGAGCGGCGGUGCCGCGGUGCAUGUCGGGAAGCGGCGGACGUGAGGGGAUGGGGGGGAGGAGGGGGGGAAGGAAUGGCUGAGGGCUGCGCCCGCGCGCGGGAAAAGCGCGUCUGUGGGGGAGUUUAA